AAUUGUAUAAUAUAAAACAAAAUUAAGUAUAUAUUGUUUACAACAAUAAAGAGAAUAAAAUUUUCUACAAUUUUAUUUAAAUUUU
RNAcentral lists this transfer RNA (85 nucleotides) under Partulina redfieldi. RNAcentral's name for it is "tRNA-Val". The record is from RNAcentral. Lineage: Eukaryota; Metazoa; Mollusca; Gastropoda; Stylommatophora; Achatinellidae.